GUAGGGGUGCAAGCGUUAUCCGGAAUCAUUGGGCGUAAAGAGCUCGUAGGCGGUUCAGCAAGUCGGCUGUGAAAUCCCGAGGGCUUAACCUCGGAACUGCAGUCGAUACUGCUGUGACUAGAGUCCGGUAGAGGAGAAUGGAAUUCCCGGUGUAGCGGUGAAAUGCGCAGAUAUCGGGAGGAACACCAGUAGCGAAGGCGGUUCUCUGGGCCGGUACUGACGCUGAGGAGCGAAAGCGUGGGUAGCAAACAGGAUUAGAUACCCUGGUAGUCCACGCCGUAAACGUUGGACACUAGGUGUGGCGUUCCGACCAACGGGUGCCGUGCCGAAGCUAACGCAUUAAGUGUCCCGCCUGGGGAGUACGGCCGCAAAGGCUAA
This 378-nucleotide ribosomal RNA is filed under the name uncultured organism. RNAcentral's name for it is "partial 16S ribosomal RNA". It matches the Rfam family "Bacterial small subunit ribosomal RNA", at positions 526 to 897 of the family's 1533-position model. The record is from RNAcentral.